This 1948-nucleotide ribosomal RNA is filed under the name Bacillus cereus VD184. Its description in RNAcentral is "bacterial LSU rRNA". It matches the Rfam family "Bacterial large subunit ribosomal RNA", at positions 970 to 2925 of the family's 2925-position model. Lineage: Bacteria; Bacillati; Bacillota; Bacilli; Caryophanales; Bacillaceae. The record is from RNAcentral.
CUUAUCCUUAGGAGUCAGACUGCGAGUGAUAAGAUCCGUAGUCAAAAGGGAAACAGCCCAGACCGCCAGCUAAGGUCCCAAAGUGUGUAUUAAGUGGAAAAGGAUGUGGAGUUACUUAGACAACUAGGAUGUUGGCUUAGAAGCAGCCACCAUUUAAAGAGUGCGUAAUAGCUCACUAGUCGAGUGACUCUGCGCCGAAAAUGUACCGGGGCUAAAUACACCACCGAAGCUGCGGAUUGAUACCAAUGGUAUCAGUGGUAGGGGAGCGUUCUAAGGACAGUGAAGUCAGACCGGAAGGACUGGUGGAGUGCUUAGAAGUGAGAAUGCCGGUAUGAGUAGCGAAAGACGGGUGAGAAUCCCGUCCACCGAAUGCCUAAGGUUUCCUGAGGAAGGCUCGUCCGCUCAGGGUUAGUCAGGACCUAAGCCGAGGCCGACAGGCGUAGGCGAUGGACAACAGGUUGAUAUUCCUGUACCACCUCUUUAUCGUUUGAGCAAUGGAGGGACGCAGAAGGAUAGAAGAAGCGUGCGAUUGGUUGUGCACGUCCAAGCAGUUAGGCUGAUAAGUAGGCAAAUCCGCUUAUCGUAAAGGCUGAGCUGUGAUGGGGAAGCUCCUUAUGGAGCGAAGUCUUUGAUUCCCCGCUGCCAAGAAAAGCUUCUAGCGAGAUAAAAGGUGCCUGUACCGCAAACCGACACAGGUAGGCGAGGAGAGAAUCCUAAGGUGUGCGAGAGAACUCUGGUUAAGGAACUCGGCAAAAUGACCCCGUAACUUCGGGAGAAGGGGUGCUUUCUUAACGGAAAGCCGCAGUGAAUAGGCCCAAGCGACUGUUUAGCAAAAACACAGCUCUCUGCGAAGCCGUAAGGCGAAGUAUAGGGGGUGACACCUGCCCGGUGCUGGAAGGUUAAGGAGAGGGGUUAGCGUAAGCGAAGCUCUGAACUGAAGCCCCAGUAAACGGCGGCCGUAACUAUAACGGUCCUAAGGUAGCGAAAUUCCUUGUCGGGUAAGUUCCGACCCGCACGAAAGGUGUAACGAUUUGGGCACUGUCUCAACCAGAGACUCGGUGAAAUUAUAGUACCUGUGAAGAUGCAGGUUACCCGCGACAGGACGGAAAGACCCCGUGGAGCUUUACUGUAGCCUGAUAUUGAAUUUUGGUACAGUUUGUACAGGAUAGGCGGGAGCCAUUGAAACCGGAGCGCUAGCUUCGGUGGAGGCGCUGGUGGGAUACCGCCCUGACUGUAUUGAAAUUCUAACCUACGGGUCUUAUCGACCCGGGAGACAGUGUCAGGUGGGCAGUUUGACUGGGGCGGUCGCCUCCUAAAGUGUAACGGAGGCGCCCAAAGGUUCCCUCAGAAUGGUUGGAAAUCAUUCGUAGAGUGCAAAGGCAUAAGGGAGCUUGACUGCGAGACCUACAAGUCGAGCAGGGACGAAAGUCGGGCUUAGUGAUCCGGUGGUUCCGCAUGGAAGGGCCAUCGCUCAACGGAUAAAAGCUACCCCGGGGAUAACAGGCUUAUCUCCCCCAAGAGUCCACAUCGACGGGGAGGUUUGGCACCUCGAUGUCGGCUCAUCGCAUCCUGGGGCUGUAGUCGGUCCCAAGGGUUGGGCUGUUCGCCCAUUAAAGCGGUACGCGAGCUGGGUUCAGAACGUCGUGAGACAGUUCGGUCCCUAUCCGUCGUGGGCGUAGGAAAUUUGAGAGGAGCUGUCCUUAGUACGAGAGGACCGGGAUGGACGCACCGCUGGUGUACCAGUUGUUCUGCCAAGGGCAUAGCUGGGUAGCUAUGUGCGGAAGGGAUAAGUGCUGAAAGCAUCUAAGCAUGAAGCCCCCCUCAAGAUGAGAUUUCCCAUAGCGUAAGCUAGUAAGAUCCCUGAAAGAUGAUCAGGUUGAUAGGUUCGAGGUGGAAGCAUGGUGACAUGUGGAGCUGACGAAUACUAAUAGAUCGAGGACUUAACCAU